Molecule: ribosomal RNA, 414 nt
Filed under: uncultured microorganism
Description: bacterial SSU rRNA
Rfam family: Archaeal small subunit ribosomal RNA
Source: RNAcentral
CAGCCGCCGCGGUAAUACCGGCGGCCCGAGUGGUGGCCGCUAUUAUUGGGCCUAAAGCGUCCGUAGCCGGGCCCGUAAGUCCCUGGCGAAAUCCCACGGCUCAACCGUGGGGCUUCCUGGGGAUACUGCGGGCCUUGGGACCGGGAGAGGCGGGGGGUGCCCCUGGGGGAGGGGGGAAAUCCUAUAAUCCCAGGGGGCCCGCCAGUGGCGAAGGCGCCCCGCUGGAACGGGUCCGACGGUGAGGGACGAAGGCCAGGGGAGCAAACCGGAUUAGAUACCCGGGUAGUCCUGGCUGUAAAGGAUGCGGGCUAGGUGUCGGGUGAGCUUCGGGCUCGCCCGGUGCCGUAGGGAAGCCGUUAAGCCCGCCGCCUGGGGAGUACGGCCGCAAGGCUGAAACUUAAAGGAAUUGGCGGG